CUCCUUUCCCCCAGAUUUGCUUCCUGAGGGACCUCAGUAAUCUGGCCUCCAAUGCAGCUGAAUCCAGCUUUCUGCCUGCCCAUGGACCCUGCUUUUCUGCUCUUCCUCCUCCUUACACUCAGGAAGCUCCAUCUUUUCCUUUCUCCUUCCUUCCUUUGCUUGCUUGCUUGCUGGCACUCAUAGCCCUUUCUGCCCUGCUAGUAGGAUUUAAUCCAGUCCUCACUUCUGUUUCCUGCAACUUUUUAAAAGAGUCACCAACUCAUCCUAGCUUUUUCCACCUAAUCCUUUGCCCUCCUGUAUUCCUUAGUGGUUGCAUAGUUAAAAGCCUUCUUCCCCACUUCCAUGGAUCCCUUCAUCUGUUGCAUUCCUGCAGAAACUAAUCAUCCUGGUUUGGGGAUCACUGUGGAGCCCCUGACAUGGCAGUACCCUUGCUGAUUCCUUAUUUCAUUGAUCCAUUCUUCAACAUGGCUCCAGUAACAUUUGCACUGGCAGAACCAAGGGGACCAUAAACUGCAUAAUUCAUCUGAGAAGAAAAUGAUUCUGCCUCACAGAAAAAGCUACAAAACAAAAUACAGUUUAGAUGACUGCAGGACUUUCAACUUUGUGCUUACAUACCAGAAGCUUUUUCCAGAACAGAAUGAAUUAAAAGAAAACAGCAGUAAACCAAUAUAAAAUAUUUGCAUAACGUACAUAGCACUCUGCAAAUCCUAAUGAAAGAGGUUCCUCUUAGCCAAAAUAGAGGGCAGAUGAAAUUCUCUAUGUUUUUUAAAAAAGAGGAAGAAAAAGAUGAAGAAGAAGAAGAAGAAAUGAGAGAGAGAAAGAAGUAGACUAUAGCAACUGAUUUUCUACGGGAAAGAGAAAGGAGCAACUUGAGGCAGCACGUGGAGAGCCCACUUUUGCCCUAUUCAUUUGCCAGGCUAAUGAUUUCACCGUAUCUGAUAGCAUGACUCACCAACUGAUGGUCAGACUGUUCAUUGCACCUUGUAAAUGAAAUAACUAUUCAGCUUCUAGCAAGCUAGUUUUCCUCAUCAAAGUCAUCACCUUCUGAGCCAGAAGGACAAGAGUACAAUCCAAACCACUUGGCUGUGGGAAGGAAAUGUGAGACAGAAUGGGUAGCAGUAAAAGAGAAGAGAGGGAAGAAAGUCAGUUUUUUUCCUUUCAUUAUGCUCUACUGAGAUAUUUAAAGUUUAUUAGGAGCAGGAUCCAUCAGGUUGUUAAAAGGGUUCGAAACCUGGCUGGACUUCCUCUGCUUUGCUUUGAUGACCAACCGCAACAUCAGGAGAAGGGGAAGGAGGAGGACAGCAGCCUUUGGCACCAUUACCAUAAACUGUGCAAAUUCUUGCAUAGACAGGACUGUGGCUGUACCUGACUUACCGACACUUCAUUUAAGACUUGGAUGUGGUAUAUGAAGGCAGAGACAGAUAUACU
Molecule: long non-coding RNA, 1428 nt
Filed under: Gallus gallus (chicken)
Lineage: Eukaryota; Metazoa; Chordata; Aves; Galliformes; Phasianidae
Description: lncRNA (ENSGALG00010010653.1)
Source: RNAcentral